CGGUAAUACCAGCUCUCCGAGUGGUAGGGAUGAUUAUUGGGCUUAAAGCGUCCGUAGCUGGCCUAGCAAGUCUUCCGUUAAAUCCACCGAUUCAAUCGUUGGACUGCGGGAGAUACUGUUGGGCUAGGGGGCGGGAGAGGCCGACGGUAUUCUCGGGGUAGGGGUAAAAUCCUAUAAUCCCGGGAGGACCACCAGUGGCGAAGGCGGUCGGCUAGAACGCGCUCGACGGUGAGGGACGAAAGCUGGGGGAGCGAACCGGAUUAGAUACCCGGGUAGUCCCAGCUGUAAACGAUGCGGGCUAGGUGUUGGGGCGGCUACGGGCCGCUUCAGUGCCGCAGGGAAACCAUUAAGCCCGCCGCCUGGGGAGUACGGCCGCAAGGCUGAAACUUA
RNAcentral lists this ribosomal RNA (390 nucleotides) under uncultured archaeon. RNAcentral describes it as "bacterial SSU rRNA". It matches the Rfam family "Archaeal small subunit ribosomal RNA", at positions 468 to 858 of the family's 1478-position model. The record is from RNAcentral.